RNAcentral lists this ribosomal RNA (490 nucleotides) under uncultured soil bacterium. RNAcentral's name for it is "bacterial SSU rRNA". It matches the Rfam family "Bacterial small subunit ribosomal RNA", at positions 26 to 506 of the family's 1533-position model. The record is from RNAcentral.
AGAUUGAACGCUGGCGGAAUGCUUUACACAUGCAAGUCGAACGGCAGCACGGGGGGCAACCCUGGUGGCGAGUGGCGAACGGGUGAGUAAUACAUCGGAACGUGCCCAGUCGUGGGGGGAUAACUACGCGAAAGCGUAGCUAAUACCGCAUACGAACUCUGGUUGAAAGCGGGGGAUCGCAAGACCUCGCGCGAUUGGAGCGGCCGAUGGCAGAUUAGGUAGUUGGUGGGGUAAAGGCUCACCAAGCCGACGAUCUGUAGCUGGUCUGAGAGGACGACCAGCCACACUGGGACUGAGACACGGCCCAGACUCCUACGGGAGGCAGCAGUGGGGAAUUUUGGACAAGUGGGCGCAAGCCUGAUCCAGCCAUUCCGCGUGCAGGAUGAAGGCCCUCGGGUUGUAAACUGUCUUUUGUACGGAACGAAACGCGCUGAGUUAAUACCUCGGACGUAAUGACGGUACCGUAAAGAAUAAGCACCGCUAACUACGU